Molecule: small nuclear RNA, 107 nt
Organism: Nomascus leucogenys (northern white-cheeked gibbon)
Lineage: Eukaryota; Metazoa; Chordata; Mammalia; Primates; Hylobatidae
Source: Ensembl
GUGGUCACUUUGGAAGCACAUAUAUUAAAAUUGUAAUGAUACAGAGAAGAUUAGCAUGGCCCUUGCACAAGGAUGACACGCACGUUUGUGAAGUUUUCAUAUUUUUC